CGUUUUCGGUUUCGGUUUCUCUUUGCUGCUUGCUGUACAGACUACCACCGGCUGGCUGGUUCGCUCUUUAUGCAGCUCAUCAGACGAAAGAGAAGACAGUCAUCAUUAUGCUGCCCAGCAGCAAAGAUGACCUGGAUCAACAGUCAAGUUCUGCUGAAAGCACAACACACAAAUGUGACAGAAAGCGAAGAGAAGUUCAGUGGAGGAAGGUGGAGCUAUUGAGCCAGCAGGUGAACAAGAGCAGGUAUUUUGUCUCACUAACCAGAAAGCUGACUAGAAUACGUCGCCUCCAGGAAAAUGGAGGGCACUGGAAGAGGAUGGCAAAGCAAGAGGUCAUAUAACAAACCACGGCAGAAGUGUUGGGUCCAAAGGAGACUCCAAUUCUCCAAACUCCCAAGGCAGUCCAAAUAUCCAGAAAUGAUCCCAACCUGGACUACAGAAGGAUUUCUGGUGGUUAGAUAAAAGCCAACAUUCCUCAGGAACUUGUGAAGCAGGUUCCGCUCUACCAACAGGUAGAGGUAAGGGAACCUCGGGAAGAAGGGACAAAUGGCUACCCAUGGUGCCUCCUAGCACACCAAAGCACAUGCUGGCCUCUGGGCUUCUUAAGUAUCUCAAGUACCUGUUACACUUCAUUUCAUUUCAAAGUCCAUGCUAGCAUUCUAGCUGUUCUCACCUCCCCCCUACCCCAAACUGCCCCCAGCUCACUGGCUUCCUUCUCUGCAGCUACUCAUCCGCCUUAUAACCCUGAUAUUCCCUAUAUGCCCCCAUCACCACCCUUGUCUCCCUCUCUCUCUGCUCUGUUCCUGCUUCUCUCAUGGCCAGGUCCAGUCUGCUGGAUAUAUUCAGUCUCUUUCUCUCUCUGCUCUGGACUCUUCCAGAUGCCCCUGCCUGUUCUCUCUCUCAUAGUUACAAUAAAGACCUUCCUCCCCCUUAACCGUACCAUGGAACAGCCGUAUCAUCAGUUUAUCCAAGAAGGUGAUGUCUCCUGGUUUUGCUUCUAUUUUGCUGGCCAAAACAAUUCAGGAGGCCUGAAGCCAGUGAGUGGGGUUGGGAAUGUAUGCUGCAUCCUCAGUGAAGCCAUAGAAAAGGCAGGGGUGGAGUGUGGGAGAAUGAGCAGAUUAUAACUAUGCACAGACACACGCAUUUGUUAGCCUCCGAGACUUCAAC
This 1167-nucleotide long non-coding RNA is filed under the name Cricetulus griseus (Chinese hamster). Its description in RNAcentral is "lncRNA (ENSCGRG00015032663.1)". Lineage: Eukaryota; Metazoa; Chordata; Mammalia; Rodentia; Cricetidae. The record is from RNAcentral.